This 534-nucleotide ribosomal RNA is filed under the name uncultured bacterium. RNAcentral describes it as "bacterial SSU rRNA". It matches the Rfam family "Bacterial small subunit ribosomal RNA", at positions 1 to 531 of the family's 1533-position model. The record is from RNAcentral.
GCCCUUAGAGUUUGAUCCUGGCUCAGGAUGAACGCUAGCGGCAGGCCUAACACAUGCAAGUCGAGGGGUAACAGGGAGUGCUUGCACUCUGCUGACGACCGGCGCACGGGUGAGUAACGCGUAUACAAUCUACCUUAUACUAGGGGAUAGCCUUUAGAAAUGAAGAUUAAUACCCUAUAGUAUGUAUUUGUGGCAUCACAGAUAUAUUAAAGGUUACGGUAUAAGAUGAGUAUGCGUCCUAUUAGUUUGUUGGUAAGGUAACGGCUUACCAAGACUACGAUAGGUAGGGGCCCUGAGAGGGGGAUCCCCCACACUGGUACUGAGACACGGACCAGACUCCUACGGGAGGCAGCAGUGAGGAAUAUUGGACAAUGGAGGCAACUCUGAUCCAGCCAUGCCGCGUGCAGGAAGACGGCCCUAUGGGUUGUAAACUGCUUUUAUACAGGAAGAAACACUCCCUCGUGAGGGAGCUUGACGGUACUGUAAGAAUAAGGACCGGCUAACUCCGUGCCAGCAGCCGCGGUAAUAAGGGCG